CCUGAUACUUCUCCAUCUCUAAAUCAUUUGACAUGUGUUUAUGGUUUACUGUAUAAUCUUGCCUGGACUUACAAUUUUAGGAAAACUGCUACUAGAUUUGGUGUAAGUCCGAUGUUCCAUAAGGAUAUAUAUCUUGCGGGGUCGGUUGGUAGUUGGUCGAAAAUCCAUUAUGAAGUUGCAAAAUACAAAUCGGUAUGCUGGCUAUCCUUUGUUCUUAUAUGA
This 222-nucleotide long non-coding RNA is filed under the name Oryza sativa aus subgroup. RNAcentral describes it as "lncRNA OsN22_12G014490". Lineage: Eukaryota; Viridiplantae; Streptophyta; Magnoliopsida; Poales; Poaceae. The record is from RNAcentral.